RNAcentral lists this ribosomal RNA (1372 nucleotides) under Curtobacterium sp. JXL30. Its description in RNAcentral is "bacterial SSU rRNA". It matches the Rfam family "Bacterial small subunit ribosomal RNA". Lineage: Bacteria; Bacillati; Actinomycetota; Actinomycetes; Micrococcales; Microbacteriaceae. The record is from RNAcentral.
GCAGUCGAACGAUGAUGCCCAGCUUGCUGGGUGGAUUAGUGGCGAACGGGUGAGUAACACGUGAGUAACCUGCCCCUGACUCUGGGAUAAGCGUUGGAAACGACGUCUAAUACUGGAUAUGACUGCCGGCCGCAUGGUCUGGUGGUGGAAAGAUUUUUUGGUUGGGGAUGGACUCGCGGCCUAUCAGCUUGUUGGUGAGGUAAUGGCUCACCAAGGCGACGACGGGUAGCCGGCCUGAGAGGGUGACCGGCCACACUGGGACUGAGACACGGCCCAGACUCCUACGGGAGGCAGCAGUGGGGAAUAUUGCACAAUGGGCGAAAGCCUGAUGCAGCAACGCCGCGUGAGGGAUGACGGCCUUCGGGUUGUAAACCUCUUUUAGUAGGGAAGAAGCGUAAGUGACGGUACCUGCAGAAAAAGCACCGGCUAACUACGUGCCAGCAGCCGCGGUAAUACGUAGGGUGCAAGCGUUGUCCGGAAUUAUUGGGCGUAAAGAGCUCGUAGGCGGUUUGUCGCGUCUGCUGUGAAAUCCCGAGGCUCAACCUCGGGCUUGCAGUGGGUACGGGCAGACUAGAGUGCGGUAGGGGAGAUUGGAAUUCCUGGUGUAGCGGUGGAAUGCGCAGAUAUCAGGAGGAACACCGAUGGCGAAGGCAGAUCUCUGGGCCGUAACUGACGCUGAGGAGCGAAAGCGUGGGGAGCGAACAGGAUUAGAUACCCUGGUAGUCCACGCCGUAAACGUUGGGCGCUAGAUGUAGGGACCUUUCCACGGUUUCUGUGUCGUAGCUAACGCAUUAAGCGCCCCGCCUGGGGAGUACGGCCGCAAGGCUAAAACUCAAAGGAAUUGACGGGGGCCCGCACAAGCGGCGGAGCAUGCGGAUUAAUUCGAUGCAACGCGAAGAACCUUACCAAGGCUUGACAUACACCGGAAACGGCCAGAGAUGGUUGCCCCCUUGUGGUCGGUGUACAGGUGGUGCAUGGUUGUCGUCAGCUCGUGUCGUGAGAUGUUGGGUUAAGUCCCGCAACGAGCGCAACCCUCGUUCUAUGUUGCCAGCGCGUUAUGGCGGGGACUCAUAGGAGACUGCCGGGGUCAACUCGGAGGAAGGUGGGGAUGACGUCAAAUCAUCAUGCCCCUUAUGUCUUGGGCUUCACGCAUGCUACAAUGGCCGGUACAAAGGGCUGCGAUACCGUAAGGUGGAGCGAAUCCCAAAAAGCCGGUCUCAGUUCGGAUUGAGGUCUGCAACUCGACCUCAUGAAGUCGGAGUCGCUAGUAAUCGCAGAUCAGCAACGCUGCGGUGAAUACGUUCCCGGGCCUUGUACACACCGCCCGUCAAGUCAUGAAAGUCGGUAACACCCGAAGCCGGUGGCCUAACCC